CAUGACUUGCAAACACAACUAAAUUGGGCAAAUUCAUUAGGAUAAGGUGGCAGUCGUUUGGCAACAAGAUCAAUGAUUUCUUCUGGCAAUUCAGACCAAUUUGCCAUAAUAUUAUUAUAUUAGAGCAACCGUUUUUCUGAAUUCACAACUUUUCUGAAUUUUCAGAUUAAAUCUCCAUCUAAGAAAUCAGUAGUCCUAUAUAUUUAUAGUAAAAACAAAAACUGCAAUAGGAUUUCUUUUCCAAUUAAGGUUCGAAAAUUCAGACAGAGUACCCCUAGUACUAAUUGUUUCAGAAGUCAGCACCUUCAAGGCAAUUUCGUUUUAGCUAAAGUUAAGAAACUUACCUUUAACAACAACAGCAAAACAGAAAGAGUUACCAGACCUUGAAUUAGAAACUAGAACAGAGAACAACCGCUUCAGAUCUUUAAGCCAACAAAGAGAGAGAGAGUGCAGAUCUAGGGUUAAUCAACAACAUAAGAUACGAUGAUGAUGAUGAUAUAAGCUGUAAGCAACCUGUUGCCCAAGUACAACUGCUUUUAAGUUUUAAUGCUGUUUGGUUGGGUAAAGUUGUCAAACACUUCAACAUACAUACUAAUAAAGUGAGUUUUGUUUUUUUUUCUUAAUAUUAUUUUAAGAAACACUAAAGUUUGGUACCGAAGGAAGUAUUCAAGCAAUUGCCCUUUUAAUUAAUCAAGGUGUUGUUGACAAUAUACUCCAACAUGAUUUUUUUUUUUGGUAGAUUUUGAUACAUACAUAUACCUACAUACAAUGAUGCCUUAAAUGCUCACUAUGGGACAGAGAAGAUGUAGCUAGCUCUGUUCGCUUUUGACAAGGAAAUAUCAGAUGAAAGUGGACCUUGGCCAUGACAGGAAACAGGGAAGGGGUGCUUCUGGGUUUCGUCAGUAAUAUUUAGGCUGCUGUUGUGGUGGGCAUCUAAACGUGGCCACAGUGUCGUGAAUGCAGCUGCUAUGUGGAGCAAUGCUCAUGAAGUCAUUACAGCAUACCAAACCAUAUAACUUCCUGUCUAGACAUAAAGGUAUCAAAUCUAAUCCCUUUCAUCCCUUCCAGUAAACUGUCAGAAACUGUAAAUUGUCAACUAAAGUGAAAAAGAAAACCAUGUAUACUCAUCUUAUGUAAUAUAAAGUUUGGCCAGCAUACCAAACUGUAUAACACAGCAAUGCAGUAUUUCAACAAGUAGCUAUGUUGGAGCUUAAACAUCAACGUCUCUUAUCUUGAUACACUUGCCAGGAAGUAUGAAUAUAUAAAUGAAAAAAUAUAUUGGAUACAUCUUACCGCUUGUAAUGAGUCUGUUUGCACUUUGCACUUGUACUCUCUCUAUGCCCAAUGACAUUGGCACUUUACUACUUGCAGUCCCGUUAAGCUAGCUUAUUGUUCAAUGGAGCUUAUAGGAUCGCCUCUUGAUAUGAGAUUUGGAGACAAUGCAAAAAGAUUUAUCUACUGUUUCUAUGAAGAAGAGUGUUAAAAAUUGACAAAUUAUAAGAAGAUUAGGAGUUAUUAUGCCGAAUAGGUGCAGCUUGUGUGAAUUGGAUAAAGAAGGCUCCCCAAUGGUAUGGUAUUGGAUCAUUGGAUGCUUGACAAAGAUGAAAGAAGGGGACACAGGUUCAGUGAGCUGUUGCAGAGGUGAUCGAGGAAUAGUUAACACAGGAUUAGGUUAACUGUCGGGAAUCAAUAUGUAGCUAAAACUUACAAUGCAUUGGAGAAGGAACACUUCUGUUAUAAGAACUGAUGUAUUCUUUGUUUUUUGCAUCAAUAAAUAACAUCUCUUUUAUCCACCUAAAAACUAGAUUUGCAAAAAAUAGCUUCCUUUUUUUCUUUCUUUCUGAGUAUGCCCUCAUAUUUAGCUCCUUCAUUACCAAGCUACCAUCUGUGUUCAAGCUUACCCAUGGUUUCCUGACCUCCGUGAGAAUGUCGUGUAUAUUCUUGAUCUGAGGUUAGCAUUAGUCCAGCAAUAGAGAUAGCUUGCCUGUUGUCUACAAUCUACACCGUCAUCGAACGUAUUGUAAUUAAAUUUCAUUAAUUUUUAUCUUCUUCUUUUGAAAGAACAAAUUUAUGCCAUCAAUUCAGCUAAGCCAUGCACUCAGAAAGGGUAGCAGUGUAGUACAUUUUUUUUGGGAUUUGACUCAUGUAAACAUUCAUUCUAUCUGCUCUUCUGCGUGAAAAUUACCCCUUUAAUUUAUGUUUCUUUGUUUUGUAAUUCACCUUUCAUCUUGUAUUGUGAGUGUACCCACUUGAUGUCUCUUUCACUCCAUGCUUGUAAGUAACCAGUAAGAUUUCCCAUAAAAUAAAGCAGACAAACUUGCUUUAAACAUUCAGAUCUCAAGAAACUCGAAACCCUUCAAGGAUAUUCAUAGCAUGACAACUUUUCUUGUUAGUGGGAAGGAAUUAGUAGCAUUCCUAGAAAACACAGGAGAGACAGAUAAAUGAAUCAAGACUCCAAAUAUCCUCUAGUUGAAUUUCAGGCUGGGUUUAUCAAAAACGAAAUUGCCUUACAUGAGUUAACCGAGAGAUGGGUACAUUUCAAUUUUAAAAUUAUGGGGGCGAUUUUGUCAUUGAAAGUACGUUUCAGUUAAGAUGGGUAGUUAGGUCUAAUUUAAGAUAUGGAUAAUAAUAAUAAUAGUUGGAAAUUUUGAUAGGUUUGAAAAAUAAUAUCAUGAAACUUUUUAUUGAAUUUAUUUUGUAGUCUAGAAGUUCAUCUUCAUAUUGAUUAUCGAUGAUAUUACUAUGAGUGCAGACUACUUUCAUAGAGAAUUAUGAAAGAGAACCUGAAGCUCAGUGGGCCCUUUCACAGAGAACCCUACAUGGUCUUCUUCAACUUCUAGAGACCAAUAAAUUAUUCUGCCAGAGGAGCAGCUAUAGGGAACUUCCUGAAAGAGGCUAGCUGAGCUGCGAGGUUAGGUAAAUGCUGCAAAAUAUUAAUUACCAUGGAGAAACUAAGGGCCCGGAAAUGUAUUUCUUAACUUCUCAGAAGGAGAGAAGUUAGAAGCAUGUUCCAAGACCAUUACAACACUGCUUUCAAUGACAAUAAAAUCUUGAUUGGACUUUUACAGAGUGUUAAAGGGUCGAUCAAUUUCAAGUUAAUCUACAACUGAAUGUCUUGAGCCCACUGCAAACAAACUCAGCAACAAGGUGCAGAGUUUUACCUUGAAAUUUGCAUGUCAGUGUGCUCAUAUAAUCUUAGAAUUCGCAUUUUCCGCAUACGUUUUCAAUUUGGACAAGAAAAAAAUGGAUACAAUUUAUGAAGCAAUCAACCAUAAGUACAACAGAAUCUCAAGGAAUCGGGAAAACGCCAUUAACCAGAACUACAAUGAUAUAAAAAGAAAAAUCUCUUAAUUAAACUAGCUAAAUAUGAAGAAAUCAAACAAAAAGAUGAAACCAUGAAAUUUUAAACUAAACAAAGGGAACCCAAUAUAACCAACUCAGGAUUGACUUUCAAAUCAUUCGACCAAGAUAAAGUUUGACAACUUCAUAACGAAAUAAUAACAAUAAUUUAAAUGUUAUACAUUGACACAUUGAUUUGAAAGACAACAUUACAGAGUAGGCAUAAAGAAAAUUGGGCGAGAAAACUUAGAAAGUUGAUGAUCAUCAAAAUAAAAAGGCUCUAUCCUAUUAUUCUUGAUAUCAUAGAUUCCCAUGUCGCAGAAGCCGCGUUGAUAAGAGUUAGAAUGGUCGUCAGUGAAGUAGAUGCAAUUCUCUUUAAAUUCUGGGUAGUCAGAAGUUGAGAUGGCAAAAGAAGUAUUAUUCCCUAGAAACAAAGCAUGGUCACCCAAAUCUUCUACCUCAGCCCAUGUCUUUGAAUUAAAAUCAAACUUGUACACCACAAAAUAUGUUGUUUCGUUGUGGAAGGCUAACGUAGGUACAUCAUCUACAGGAUCGAAAGCUCGUUCAACCAUGCAAAGAUCCCCAGUCAAUUCAACGAGAUAAAAUGUGCUACAGACAUAUAUAUUAUCUGGAGGUGAUGCAAAAUCUGUUGCUUUAGGCUGCCGUGUGUUGACCUCAAUAAUUCUUAACAUUCCAUCACAAGAAAUAGCAUAAAAGUGGUCAUUGAAGAAUAUGAUGUCUUGGUAGUUUGACCUAGAACAAUCCACGGAUGUCCAAACUUCAUCUCCAGGAGAAGCAACAGCAAGAUAGCAUAUUUCUCCAUAUAUAGCCAUAACCAAAGGGCAUUGUCCAGUCUCAGGGAUAGAUGGAUCAGAUGAAAGAGCAAAUUUUAUAAAGUAACUCUGACAAAGGUGUUCAGGACAAUACGCAUCGAAUUGGUGUUGGUGUUCAAACGUGGGCUGUGAUGGAAGAGAUAUUUGAACACGGGAUAAUGGAUGUAAAAGAUGGAUAUUAAGGUCAAGACCAAAGGUGAGCAACCAACCAUAUGGAGUUCCCCAACCUCUUGUUCGUUUAGCUUGAGGCAAAUAAUAAUUGAAAAGUCUUUUGGUAGAAUGACAAUAAAAAGAACGAAUUGCUCCUUUCUUAAAUUGUUUGUCGUUUUUACGGAUAAUAUUACUGUUUUGUUUUUUCAGUACAGAAUUCCAUGACUUGCAAACACAACUAAAUUGGGCAAAUUCAUUAGGAUAAGGUGGCAGUCGUUUGGCAACAAGAUCAAUGAUUUCUUCUGGCAAUUCAGACCAAUUUGCCAUAAUAUUAUUAUAUUAGAGCAACCGUUUUUCUGAAUUCACAACUUUUCUGAAUUUUCAGAUUAAAUCUCCAUCAAGUGUAAAAACUGCAAUAGGAUUUCUUUUCCAAUUAAGGUUCGAAAAUUCAGACAGAGUACUCCUAGUACUAAUUGUUGUUUCAGAAGUCAGCACCUUCAAGGCAAUUUCGUUUUAGCUAAAGUUAAGAAACUUAC
RNAcentral lists this long non-coding RNA (4858 nucleotides) under Aquilegia coerulea. RNAcentral's name for it is "long non-coding RNA (ACOE_LNC002229)". Lineage: Eukaryota; Viridiplantae; Streptophyta; Magnoliopsida; Ranunculales; Ranunculaceae. The record is from RNAcentral.